RNAcentral lists this ribosomal RNA (503 nucleotides) under uncultured Paenibacillus sp. RNAcentral describes it as "bacterial SSU rRNA". It matches the Rfam family "Bacterial small subunit ribosomal RNA", at positions 33 to 507 of the family's 1533-position model. Lineage: Bacteria; Bacillati; Bacillota; Bacilli; Caryophanales; Paenibacillaceae. The record is from RNAcentral.
CGUGGCUACGAGGACGACGCUGGCGGCGUGCCUAAUACAUGCAAGUCGAGCGGAUUGUUCCUUCGGGGACAAGUUAGCGGCGACGGGUGAGUAACACGUAGGUAACCUGCCUAUAAGAUCGGGAUAACUAUCGGAAACGAUAGCUAAGACCGGAUAAUUGGGUUUUCUCGCAUGAGAGAACUAUGAAACACGGAGUAAUCUGUGGCUUAUAGAUGGGCCUGCGGCGCAUUAGCUAGUUGGUAGGGUAAUAGCCUACCAAGGCGACGAUGCGUAGCCGACCUGACGGGGGUGAACGGCCACACUGGGACUGAGACACGGCCCAGACUCCUACGGGAGGCAGCAGUAGGGAAUCUUCCGCAAUGGACGCAAGUCUGACGGAGCAACGCCGCGUGAGUGAUGAAGGUUUUCGGAUCGUAAAGCUCUGUUGCCCUAGACGAACAGCAGGGAGAGUAACUGCUCUCUGUGUGACGGUAUAGGAGAAGAAAGCCCCGGCUAACUCCGUG